ACCAAAAAAAAUAAAAAUCAAGUGUUGUUAGAUUAUUUUUUUUUUGAAUAAAAGUGUUGUUAGUAGAAUAGAAUAAAGGUUUUCUUUAUACCAAAAAGAAAGAAUUAAGGUUUCUUCUAGUCUGUUCAACUCAAUCGCCAUUCCUUCAGAUUAGGAAACCUAAAUCCCUUCAUUUGACGAAGUCUCUGUCGUCCCUCGUCUCAACUCAAGCGCUCUCUUCUUCGAACUCUCUGCGUUCAAUCUUCUGGAGAUCUAACUCAUCUGCAUUUGUCUUCAAUCAAGUUUUGUGUUUUCCCCCUUCAAUUUCGCGGCCAUUCCUUCAAUUUCUCCGGUCAGUUCACCAAAACCCUAAUCUCAAAUCCAUUACCGUGAUGAAAGUUGCAAUUGGGAAUGAGCGGUGGUGGGGAGGAGGAAUUCACGGCCCAUGAUUAAGCAAAGCUCAUGUCUUAGUCUAUGGAAUGAAUGGAACAAAUAGAUGAAGUAAAGCUAUAAGUUGUCUAUAUGGGUAUCUCAACUACACAUAAUCCAUUUCCACAAAGUACAUGUUUCUUGAUGAACUCUUUUACCUUGCAAUCAUGAUCUGAGUUCACUUCUUCUGAAUUAUCUGAUAGUUUCAUAUUAUCAGUAACAUCAAUUAUAUAUAUCUUAACAGGCACAAUAAAAUCAUCCCAAUCAACCCAUUUCACAGUGUAUUUUAGGUAGAGACUUCUCUUUGGUCCCUCAAAACCUUCCUUCAACUUGCAUUGUGUAGAAUCAUAACAGCAUGACAAACCUCCUUUAUAAUCUGGCCUAAUAGACUUUCCAUGUGCAUCCACCGUAACAUUAUAAAGCUCACAUUUACACUCAGUGCACCCUAACUUAUCCUCCGCACCGCGUGUAUCAACGGCAUGAACAUUAACCAACCAUUUCUCCUCAAACCCUUCUGGAACCUCUGCAGGAUUACCUAUCUCUAUACCAAAAGGAUCCGGAAUAUCUGUUGCCGUUCCUCGUGUUUCGGAACCAAGGCCAAAGUACUGUGGAAUAACAGUUCCCUGACAUAUGCCACUGUUCCUCAGAAGAACAUGAUCAGAGUUUUGAAGCAGCCUGUGGCUAUCAUUUUCUGUGUGUGUGACAAGUUUACGUUGAUGAUAUUUUGCAACAGCCCAAUGAUGGAGAUAGGUUUCAUGCAGAGGUAUAGGAUUACCAGCUUCAUCAACUACUUCAGCAUCGAAACUCUUGAGUGCUACAUGACCUCUUGGAAAAUCAAUAUCAUAAUAAUAUCUAUUGCUAACUGAUCCAGGUCCUAGCUCAAAUUUAGGGGACAAAAAAACAGCUGAUUUUAUCUUAGCUUCAGUCUUCACAAAAGAACUUGAGCAUGGUGUGCUCAACAACAGCACAAGUAUUGACAGUGAAAAUACCAACUCUCUAGGUACAAACCACAUAUUGAUCUGUCAGACAAAUGUUUAUCAGUAAUUAGUAACUAAUUAUUGAGUAAAAGGAUAUUAAACAGCAGAUUAUGAAAAAUGUAUUGUCUUCAUCAAACUCACUUACAUGCCAGUACAAUAAUAUUCUGCAAUUAAAUGGCGGUCCAGUGGGCCAGAUACUGGUGCUGAAAACCAAAAAAUAUAAAUGAGUAUAAUAAUCAAAAGGUAAAUAUUGCAAAGUAGUGUUUUCUUAGGAAACCUCUGAAGAAUUGAAUUAAGAUACAAAGUAAACAAGCAUGAACAGAGUUUGCAAAUUGCACAGCAAAGGGCAAGUGAAUAUAAUGUGAGAUCCAUUCACCAAAUAAACUACACAAAUAAGCAUGAAAAAGAAUAGUUUGAACACAAUCAUGAUCAAGGUUUUAAAUCACAGUCAUGUUAUGAUGCAGCUAAAUACUGUUGAUGCAAGCAGCUUCAAUUGCAAUCACAACAGACAUUAAAAAAAAUAAUGUUAUGAUUAGAAUUGUUGUCACAGACUUUUUUUUUUUACUAACAGAACAGAACAUUUUAGAAACCCUAAUUAUAACAUAAACUGAUGACCUAUGAAGCCAAAAUACUUGAUACGAUACGGAUACAACACGGAUAUAGCGAUACCGUAAAAUCUGAAGAUUUAAGAUACUACAUAGCCAAGAUACUUUAAUAAAAAAUUAAAUUAAAAUAAAAUAUUCACUACUUAUUUAUUUCUUUGCAUAAGUUGUUUCGUAUAAGCUAGAAAAUUAGUGAAUCCGAAGGGGCCCAAAGUAUAGAAGUUGAUGACACCAAAUUAAGAUAUUGGAUCAUUUGAAACAGACAUGAAUUGCAAAACUAUAAAUUUUGAGGAAAAUAAAGAAACAAUAUGAAACAUCAACAAGUGUAAGAGAUUGCGUACCUGGAAAAGAUUGACGAGAAAGUUAGAUAUGAAUGAAAGUAGAUUGAUUCGGUUAUUUAUAGAUGAAGACGGAAUAAAAAUGAACGUGUGAGAACAGGCCACAUGAGAAAUUGAGAACGUUUUUCACAACCUUUCAUUUUUAUAUUUUUUAUUUUUUAUCAAAAGUGGCUAAAUGUGAAACAACAACAACAAGAAACAAAAAAAAGUCACAGCCUUUCAUUUCAUUUCACACUCGAGAUGGAAAGUUUUCAGUCCUAAUUAGAAACUCGUAUUCAUUUGGUUCUUUCUUCAUUUGGAUUCGAGACACAAAUAUUUUACGGGGAUCCGUCUAAUCUGAUUUGGAGGUCCGUUUUAACAUUAAGUGGUUUCAGCCCCUCUGAUCGCAGUUGUGUGGAUGGAACGGUGGUUCUCCUACCAAAUCCGGCGCCAAAAUGAUUAAUAUUUUAUUUGCUUUAGAUAACAUGGUUAAGCAAAACUGAGCUGUAGGAAUCGAAUGAAUAGUUAUUUAAGGACCAAAGGUAUCAAAUUCAAAUCCAUCAUUGUAGUGCAAAAAAUGAAGGUCAUCCCAUAAAAUGUCUCUAUGUAACUGAGGAAGUAACAACGGCUAGAGACUAGAGUUGAGACGAAGUUGCAACCGGAGGGCGCAGCAAUGAUAGAGCUGUGAAUGAAGAUGCAGAGGCGGCCGAUGAAGAAAUGGCGGUGAGGAGUCGAUGGAAAAGGAAGCGAAUGCGUUCACAAUUUGGCGAAGAGUGGCAGACAACUGACUUGUUCCGUAAGGAAGCCACACCUGUGGGGAACCUAUGCUUGUUCCGUAGGAACUUUACAAGUUUGUUUUAAGAGAGAUGAUCUUUUAAUUAAGCAACUUCAUAACAUAAGCAACAUUAGCUAACUCACAAUUCCUAAUUUUAAACCAAACAUGGUUUGUCCAUAUCCAUUGCCUAAAAUUUGUGAUGUGUAACAUCAAAAUAAAUAAAAAUGGCUAAUGAGUU
Long non-coding RNA from Trifolium pratense (red clover), 3317 nucleotides. RefSeq lists it as uncharacterized. The transcript has 7 exons. NCBI's taxonomy places the organism in Eukaryota, Viridiplantae, Streptophyta, Magnoliopsida, Fabales, Fabaceae. The record is from RefSeq and is a predicted model, not a curated record.